Molecule: long non-coding RNA, 2514 nt
Organism: Rhineura floridana
Lineage: Eukaryota; Metazoa; Chordata; Lepidosauria; Squamata; Rhineuridae
Exons: 3
Source: RefSeq, a predicted model, not a curated record
CUUUAUGUCUAGCAGCAGGCUGUGGCUCGUGGUGGGGGAUGAACGCAAGGUGGCUGACUCUGGCAUCUGUGGACGUGGAAUUUGUCUUCCUUCCACACCCGAUCUGUGAAACAAACUAGCCAGGUAGCACUGGUGAGCCUGGAAUCUGAGAAAAGAUUAUAGCAGCAGCAAGUAGAGAUGAACGAAAAGCUGGUAUCAAAUGCUAAUGGCAGAGAAAAGGCCCAAGUACCUUCCCUCAUAAAGCUCCCCUGGCCAUCUGACAGGUUGGCCCCGUGGAAAGAGGUAUAGUCUCUUUUUCUUGACUACACUUUCCAUGAUGUUUAGAGAGAGGAAGAAGAGAGAGAAGAGAAAAGCUGUCUGCACUGGAAUUUUUGUGGAUUGUUGUUGUUGUUAUGUGCCUUCAAGUCGAUUUCAACUUAUGGUGACCCUAUGAAUCAGAGACCUCCAGUAGCAUCUGUUAUAAACCACCCUGUUAAAUCUUGUAAGUGCAGGUCUAUCUUGUGGAUAGACAGCCCUUAUUUUAAAGGACAUCCAUUAAUCAAAGGUGCUCAGGGCACCUUUACUCCCCAAAAAUUCUACAAGGCCCCCUCCAACACUAUGAGUCUGACUCUGGUAUUAGUUGGCUAAUGUCUCAGACUCAAUAGGGGUGAAGUAACAAAAAGGCAACUGCAGGGUCCCACAUCCCUCCAAAAGUGGCAUUGAGAAUAUUCACUUCCCAGUUGAUUGCUUUUUAUCCCUGACUGAACAGUGAUUGGAAAGGUUCUUCUGAAACCACAUUUGAGCAAAAGGCUGUACACUUGACUUCAUAGGGAAGGGCAAGUGGAUCAGGGUUUGAUUCAGGGUUGGGGCAACACUGACUUGGAUUUGUAGAAAGCUGGAUUAUCAGUACAAUGGUUUUAUGAGACGAGGAGGCAGGGAAGACCUUCCCUCCUUUACCUAGUUUGGAUUAUUUUUUACAUCAGUGCAGUAGAAUAAUAAUGUGUGUAGUCUUAAACCCUGCAGAGGUUUAAACCCUUCAAACAAUUGGUGCUGUUGCUGCCUACUCACUGGUGGUAUGUGAUAAUGUGCAAAUCUCUGUCAGGAAUUAUUUCAGCGUUGUUGUUGUAGUAGCAUCUUUAUUAUGGUCAAAUGACCAAAAUACUAUAUAUGGUGAAAUGCCAACUACUGUCAAAGGGAGUAAUGCAUCUGAGGCUUCCAAUACUGUGUGUUGUAGAAUGUUUUAAAACAUCACAGAGGCAGAGAUAUAUGUGUUGUGUGCCUGAAUGAUGCAAAAACAAUUGCAAGGUCUGGAACAGUAAAGCAUCUGUUUAUUUUUUCAUUUGUCACAUUGUAAGCUUUAGAGCCUAGAGGGUUAGUGGAAGUAGCUUUCCCACCCUAAAGUUCUGAUGUUUUAGAGCUGUCAGUAAAAUGUAAGAGAAAAUACCAUUAGAGAGAUACAAAAAAUUGAUUUGUUCACAUUAUUCAUGUAGGUGACAUUUGAAAGUCAGAUGAACUGCUGUCUCCUUGAAAACAGUCAAUCAGACUGGAAAUAAAAAAAUCCCGCAGCACUUAGGGCCUGUCAGUCUCUACUUCCAGGGACAGACAGGAUAUCAGGGCAUUUCCUAUUCCUGUGUUUACGUAAUGAGGGGAAAAUUAACGAAGAAAGUUUGCAUCAAAACACACAUUCAGGUUGAUUAUAAUUCUAGCAGAUUCUUGAUCAGCUGUAAGCAUUUGCCACAGAUACCUCAAACAUAUGGGGAGGUGGAGGGUGUGUGUGUGAUUUUAUGCCAGUGCCAUUUUCCUGCAGUCUUCACUGGAGGAAAAUCCCUUCAGAUGUCAAUUAUAUGAAAUAACAUGGGUAGGGAGGAUCACACAGAGAAUCUGAAAUAAUUGUUCUGUCAGCCCUAGCCCCUGGAAUAAAAGCCUAAGAUGAAUUUGCAUGGACCUUGUGGUCUUGUAUAUAGGACAUCACUGCCUCUGAUUUAUAAAGGGUUUUCACUUUUCCAGUUCUAAAUAAGUAUUAACAAACGUGCUAAAACAGAAAUCCAGCAUGGGCUAAAGAUGCCAACUGUCCUGUCCUGAUGGGAUCAGCUGCCUUCAUGCUGGCAUGAGACAUAUGAAAGGAAAAAAUGAAGGGGAUCAUAUAACUGGUUAGUAGACGAUUAGUCACAUUUUCCCAGUUGCUUCCUAUUGUAAUAAAGGAACAAUAAAGGUUUUUGUACAGUUACUAGGCUACCAUCCACAUCAUUUCCCCUAACACCCUUUCUCCCCCUUUCAUGAAUAAGCUUUUUGUUGCAAUGCUUUGCUCUAAAGUUUUGCUGUAAUGUUAAUGGCUACAUUUACAUGUAACACUAAACCAUGGUUUAGCAUUAUAUGCACAAGCAGGAAGGAGCCACCACAAAUCUUGGGCUUGUGCACUCCCCCCUUAUCCUUCCAUGCAGCAGAACUUAGUUUAACUUCCCACAAAAUCUGGCAUGUUGUUACAUACAAACCAGCAACUCUGGUUUAAAACGAACACUGGAAAGUUUCAAAACC